This 558-nucleotide ribosomal RNA is filed under the name Colletotrichum falcatum. RNAcentral describes it as "eukaryotic LSU rRNA". The stretch from base 184 to 337 matches the Rfam family "5.8S ribosomal RNA". Lineage: Eukaryota; Fungi; Ascomycota; Sordariomycetes; Glomerellales; Glomerellaceae. The record is from RNAcentral.
GGGGUAUCGAAGGUGAAGCAACUUCACCCUUUGUGACAUACCCAACUGUUGCUUCGGCGGGUCGGGGCGCCCUCCCGGGGGCGCCCCCCAGGCCCGGCCCCUCCCGGGGCCGAGCGCCCGCCGGAGGAUCACCCAACUCUAUUUUAACGACGUUUCUUCUGAGUGGCACAAGCAAAUAAUUAAAACUUUUAACAACGGAUCUCUUGGUUCUGGCAUCGAUGAAGAACGCAGCGAAAUGCGAUAAGUAAUGUGAAUUGCAGAAUUCAGUGAAUCAUCGAAUCUUUGAACGCACAUUGCGCCCGCCAGCAUUCUGGCGGGCAUGCCUGUUCGAGCGUCAUUUCAACCCUCAAGCCCGGCUUGGUGUUGGGGCACUACGGUCGACGUAGGCCCUUAAAGGUAGUGGCGGACCCUCCCGGAGCCUCCUUUGCGUAGUAACUAACGUCUCGCAUCGGGAUCCGGAGGGACUCCUGCCGUAAAACCCCCACACUUUUUCUGGUUGACCUCGGAUCAGGUAGGAAUACCCGCUGAACUUAAGCAUAUCAAGAAACGGAGAGGGAA